GCCUCUGUGGUGUAGUGGUAGCACGGGCCCAAUGUAUGGGUGGAACACGGGUUCAACUUCCGUUUGAGGAU
Parelaphostrongylus tenuis is the source of this 71-nucleotide non-coding RNA. The record is from the annotation of a GenBank genome assembly. NCBI's taxonomy places the organism in Eukaryota, Metazoa, Nematoda, Chromadorea, Rhabditida, Metastrongylidae.